ACCUGGGUGGCUCAGUGGGUUAAGCAACUGACUUCAGCUCAGGUCAUGAUCUCAUGGCCCGUGGGUUCAACCCCACAUCAGGCA
Molecule: transfer RNA, 84 nt
Filed under: Felis catus (domestic cat)
Lineage: Eukaryota; Metazoa; Chordata; Mammalia; Carnivora; Felidae
Rfam family: tRNA
About the family: Transfer RNA (tRNA) molecules are approximately 80 nucleotides in length. Their secondary structure includes four short double-helical elements and three loops (D, anti-codon, and T loops).
Source: Rfam by way of RNAcentral